This 1249-nucleotide ribosomal RNA is filed under the name uncultured bacterium. RNAcentral's name for it is "bacterial SSU rRNA". It matches the Rfam family "Bacterial small subunit ribosomal RNA", at positions 68 to 1331 of the family's 1533-position model. The record is from RNAcentral.
GUGAAGCCCAGCUUGCUGGGUGGAUCAGUGGCGAACGGGUGAGUAACACGUGAGCAACCUGCCCUCCACUUCGGGAUAAGCCUUGGAAACGGGGUCUAAUACCGGAUAUGAGCUCGCAUCGCAUGGUGUGGGUUGGAAAGUUUUUCGGUGGGGGAUGGGCUCGCGGCCUAUCAGCUUGUUGGUGGGGUGAUGGCCUACCAAGGCGUCGACGGGUAGCCGGCCUGAGAGGGCGACCGGCCACACUGGGACUGAGACACGGCCCAGACUCCUACGGGAGGCAGCAGUGGGGAAUAUUGCACAAUGGGCGCAAGCCUGAUGCAGCGACGCCGCGUGAGGGAUGACGGCCUUCGGGUUGUAAACCUCUUUCAGCAGGGAAGAAGCGCAAGUGACGGUACCUGCAGAAGAAGCGCCGGCUAACUACGUGCCAGCAGCCGCGGUAAUACGUAGGGCGCAAGCGUUGUCCGGAAUUAUUGGGCGUAAAGAGCUCGUAGGCGGUCUGUCGCGUCUGGUGUGAAAUCCCGAGGCUCAACCUCGGGCUUGCAUCGGGUACGGGCAGACUAGAGUGCGGUAGGGGAGACUGGAAUUCCUGGUGUAGCGGUGGAAUGCGCAGAUAUCAGGAGGAACACCGAUGGCGAAGGCAGGUCUCUGGGCCGCAACUGACGCUGAGGAGCGAAAGCAUGGGGAGUGAACAGGAUUAGAUACCCUGGUAGUCCAUGCCGUAAACGUUGGGCACUAGGUGUGGGGCUCAUUCCACGAGUUCCGUGCCGCAGCUAACGCAUUAAGUGCCCCGCCUGGGGAGUACGGCCGCAAGGCUAAAACUCAAAGGAAUUGACGGGGACCCGCACAAGCGGCGGAGCAUGCGGAUUAAUUCGAUGCAACGCGAAGAACCUUACCAAGGCUUGACAUGUACGAGAAAGCCCCCGAGACGGGGUUCUCUUUGGACACUCGUACACAGGUGGUGCAUGGUUGUCGUCAGCUCGUGUCGUGAGAUGUUGGGUUAAGUCCCGCAACGAGCGCAACCCUCGUCCUAUGUUGCCAGCGGGUUAUGCCGGGGACUCAUGGGAGACUGCCGGGGUCAACUCGGAGGAAGGUGGGGAUGACGUCAAAUCAUCAUGCCCCUUAUGUCUUGGGCUUCACGCAUGCUACAAUGGCCGGUACAGAGGGCUGCGAUACCGUAAGGUGGAGCGAAUCCCAAAAAGCCGGUCUCAGUUCGGAUUGGGGUCUGCAACUCGACCCCAUGAAGUCGGAG